ACCAUAUUUGCAUAGUGGUAAAAUGCGUGGCUUUUAACCAUGUGGUUGUGGGUUUGAUCCUUACAGAUGGCA
Molecule: transfer RNA, 72 nt
Filed under: Ipomoea nil (Japanese morning glory)
Lineage: Eukaryota; Viridiplantae; Streptophyta; Magnoliopsida; Solanales; Convolvulaceae
Rfam family: tRNA
About the family: Transfer RNA (tRNA) molecules are approximately 80 nucleotides in length. Their secondary structure includes four short double-helical elements and three loops (D, anti-codon, and T loops).
Source: Rfam by way of RNAcentral